UUUAAGUGCAACCAUGAGUUUUCGUGCUCAACUUUGAUCGUUCGUCUUAUUUGAAAUUAUUUAUAAUUAGUAUUUUUAUUGUUAUGAGAUGAUAAAACAUUAAUAGGACUUUACUCGUAACUUAUAUUUUCAAAAAAUUUUAAUUUUUUUGAAAAUAAGACAGAUGAUCAAAGUUGGUCGCGAAAAACCAUGGUUCCACUUAAA
This is a non-coding RNA of Oryza meridionalis, 204 nucleotides long. The record is from Rfam. Lineage: Eukaryota; Viridiplantae; Streptophyta; Magnoliopsida; Poales; Poaceae.